Molecule: ribosomal RNA, 253 nt
Filed under: uncultured bacterium
Lineage: Bacteria
Description: partial 16S ribosomal RNA
Rfam family: Bacterial small subunit ribosomal RNA
Source: RNAcentral
UACGAACCGUACGAACGUUAUUCGGAAUCACUGGGCUUAAAGGGUGCGUAGGCUGCGCAGCAAGUUGGGUGUGAAAUCCCUCGGCUUAACCGAGGAACUGCGCCCAAAACUGCUGUGCUCGAGGGAGAUAGAGGUGAGCGGAACUUAGGGUGGAGCGGUGAAAUGCGUUGAUAUCCUAAGGAACGCCGGUGGCGAAAGCGGCUCACUGGAUCUCUUCUGACGCUGAGGCACGAAAGCUAGGGUAGCGAACGGG